GACGAACGCUGGCGGCGUGCUUAACACAUGCAAGUCGAACGGAAAGGCCCUGCUUUUGUGGGGUGCUCGAGUGGCGAACGGGUGAGUAACACGUGAGUAACCUGCCCUUUACUUUGGGAUAACUUCAGGAAACUGGGGCUAAUACCGGAUAUGAGCUCCUGCUGCAUGGUGGGGGUUGGAAAGUUUCGGCGGUUGGGGAUGGACUCGCGGCUUAUCAGCUUGUUGGUGGGGUAGUGGCUUACCAAGGCUUUGACGGGUAGCCGGCCUGAGAGGGUGACCGGCCACAUUGGGACUGAGAUACGGCCCAGACUCCUACGGGAGGCAGCAGUGGGGAAUAUUGCACAAUGGGCGGAAGCCUGAUGCAGCAACGCCGCGUGCGGGAUGACGGCCUUCGGGUUGUAAACCGCGUUCGCCUGUGACGAAGCGUGAGUGACGGUAAUGGGUAAAGAAGCACCGGCUAACUACGUG
Molecule: ribosomal RNA, 468 nt
Filed under: uncultured bacterium
Lineage: Bacteria
Description: partial 16S ribosomal RNA
Rfam family: Bacterial small subunit ribosomal RNA
Source: RNAcentral